This is a long non-coding RNA of Patiria miniata (bat star), 311 nucleotides long. RefSeq lists it as uncharacterized. Lineage: Eukaryota; Metazoa; Echinodermata; Asteroidea; Valvatida; Asterinidae. The record is from RefSeq and is a predicted model, not a curated record. The transcript is spliced from 3 exons.
GGCAGCCGUAACGACUGGAUUCUCUCAACGGUACGGUAUAAACGGGGGAUGGGCCGGCGCGGAAUUUGACACAAAUAAUCCCUAUUUUCAAACGCAAUUUUAUCUGCAUAAUAUAAGGGCCGACUUCAGUUGGUAUUUCCUGUGUUGAAUCAUUCCUAAAUCUGGUUGCUUGGACCGUUCACCACGCCAGGAUCUGAUCUCGUCAUCGACUGCCUUGGUGGAAGAAUUCGACAAGAUAUUUGGUGCCAGCCCUAUCCCAACUUUCAAAUGAGGAUUUUCUCGUCACAAUAGGUAGGUACAUGUACAUGUAC